This 1331-nucleotide long non-coding RNA is filed under the name Salmo salar (Atlantic salmon). RNAcentral's name for it is "lncRNA (ENSSSAG00000109514.1)". The record is from RNAcentral. Lineage: Eukaryota; Metazoa; Chordata; Actinopteri; Salmoniformes; Salmonidae.
UAUUGAUCAGUGGUUAGAGGGACAUUAGGGUUAUAUACUGUUAUUGAUCAGUGGUUAGAGGGACAUUAGGGUUAUAUACUGUUAUUGAUUAGAGAGACAUUAGGGUUAUAUACUGUUAUUGAUUAGAGGGACAUUAGGGUUAUAUACUGUUAUUGAUUAGAGGGACAUUAGGGUUAUAUACUGUUAUUGAUUAGAGGGACAUUAGGGUUAUAUACUGUUAUUGAUCAGAGAGACAUUAGGGUUAUAUACUGUUAUUGAUUAGAGAGACAUUAGGGUUAUAUACUGUUAUUGAUUAGUGGGACAUUAGGGUUAUAUACUAUUAUUGAUUAGAGAGACAUUAGGGUUAUAUACUGUUAUUGAUUAGAGAGACAUUAGGGUUAUAUACUGUUAUUGAUUAGAGGGACAUUAGGGUUAUAUACUGUUAUUGAUCAGAGGGACAUUAGGGUUAUAUACUGUUAUUGAUCAGUGGUUAGAGGGACAUUAGGGUUAUAUACUGUUAUUGAUUAGAGGGACAUUAGGGUUAUAUACUGUUAUUGAUUAGAGAGACAUUAGGGUUAUAUACUGUUAUUGAUCAGAGAGACAUUAGGGUUAUAUACUGUUAUUGAUUAGAGAGACAUUAGGGUUAUAUACUGUUAUUGAUUAGAGAGACAUUAGGGUUAUAUACUGUUAUUGGUUAGAGGGACAUUAGGGUUAUAUACUGUUAUUGAUCAGUGGGACAUUAGGGUUAUAUACUGUUAUUGAUCAGAGAGACAUUAGGGUUAUAUACUGUUAUUGAUUAGUGGGACAUUAGGGUUAUAUACUGUUAUUGAUUAGAGAGACAUUAGGGUUAUAUACUGUUAUUGAUUAGUGGGACAUUAGGGUUAUAUACUGUUAUUGAUUAGAGAGACAUUAGGGUUAUAUACUGUUAUUGAUUAGAGAGACAUUAGGGUUAUAUACUGUUAUUGAUCAGAGGGACAUUAGGGUUAUAUACUGUUAUUGAUUAGAGGUUAGAGAGACAUUAGGGUUAUAUACUAUUAUUGAUCAGAGAGACAUUAGGGUUAUAUACUGUUAUUGAUUAGAGGGACAUUAGGGUUAUAUACUGUUAUUGAUUAGAGGGACAUUAGGGUUAUAUACUGUUAUUGAUUAGAGGUUAGAGAGACAUUAGGGUUAUAUACUGUUAUUGAUCAGAGAGACAUUAGGGUUAUAUACUGUUAUUGAUUAGAGAGACAUUAGGGUUAUAUACUGUUAUUGAUCAGUGGUUAGAGAGACAUUAGGGUUAUAUACUGUUAUUGAUUAGAGGGACAUUAGGGUUAUAUACUGUUAUUGAUUAGAGAGACAUUAGGGUUAUAUAC